UAGAAUACUCAGUAUUUCAAGCUUUUCUUAAAACGCGGUCCUUUUGCGUUGCAUAAUAUUAUUUAUUUUUAUAAUAAUCCAAACCUCAAUCCAGGUCCAAUUAAGAAUACGCUUUCUACAUUUUAAAUGCAAAGUCGAAUAAAAAAACUGAACGAUCAAAGUGCCUUUAAGUGUUUACUUUAUUGAAGUGAACACACAUUUCUUUCAUUCGUAGUUAAACAAUAUUUUAACCAAGGCUAAUAAUGUAGUGAUGCUUAGGGGUUUUCUAUGCACUUUCCAAGAUUAUUAAAAUACUACUUACAUAGAGUAAAGUGAAACAUAAGGGAAACUUCGUGAGGAAACCUUAACUAAGUUGGAAAUGACCAAUCCACCUUGAGCAAGUGUGGUGAUUUUGCUCAGCAGAACUUACGGGCUGAUGAUAAUGAUGGGGAACCUGAUACCAAGUACCAAGUACCAAGUCAAACUAAAUAUUAUACUGACUAUAUCUAUACAUAUAAUAAAAUCGUAGAAAAGUGCUGUCUGUACAUUGAAAAUAAAAAUAAAAAAAAUAGCAGGGGUUAUUGUUAUGUCGAUGUCGAACCCAAAAAUGUAAUUAACUUUUUUUUGUCUGUUUGUCUGUUUGUCUGUUUGUCUGUUUGUCUGUUCGUCUGUGCGCGCUAAUCUCAGAAACGGCUGAUCCGAGUUGGAUGCGGUUUUCACGAAUAUAUUGUGGGAUGCUUAAAUUUACAUUUAGUGUUUGUUUCAUGUCAAUCGGUUCAUAAAUAAAAAAGUUAUGUCAAAUUAAAGAAUCACGUCGAACAUUCUAUGCUUAUACCAUUAAUCUCCGCAACUAUUUGACGGAUUUGGUUGAAAUUUGGUACAGAUAUAGUUUAGAACCUUAGAAAGGACAUAGAUAUAUUUUUAUUUCAAAAAUCAAAAAAUAAAAAUAAGAAAUAAAUUAUUUAUAAAUAAUUCUAUGUCGAUCGUUACACGACUUCGGUUCAUGUUAUUGUUUUAAUUCAUCGAAAAAAAGUAAAUAAAUAGUAAAAAGGUAUGAAAAAAAUAAUAUCAAUAUAAUUAAACUUUUAGUACAAAGAAAAUGCCCGAACGGAGUAUAAAUAAAUAAUCCAAGUUGUCUUUAUCCUCGAUAGAUCGAAAUAGAUCGCGCUAUGGUUUCGUUACAUUCAUUUGGUUGGGUAUCGGCCGAGCGCUUCGGUACUAUCGUAGAAAAAGUGUAUUAUCAGUCGUAUGAUUAUUUGUCUGUAGUGGUCCUGCUGUUUCGUAUAUUCUAAAUUGGUUUCGUUGUAUUUGUCAAUUAAUAAGUUUAUUUGUUGGGUUUUCCUGGUUUUUUGGUUAAACUAUUUAACGUAGGUUUAGUUUGAUAUCGAUUAUUAGUAGUUACUGUAGUUAGUUUUUUUAAUAAAAUUGUAAGUCUAAUUUAUAAAUUAAUUAGAUUAGAUUUAAGUCGUUUCUUUUAAAUUAUUUAGUUGAAGCUUGGUUAUUAUAGCAUAGAGGAUAGGUUGUAAUAUAGUUUCUUUUUUAAUUGUUAUAAAUUCGUAAUUCGUAGCUUUCUUUAGUUUUAAGUUAGUUUAAGUCCGUUUUUAAACUAUUUUUUCAAUGCCCUAAGUGAGUAUACAUCUAUUAAAUUCAAACGCAGAGCUCAUUAUGUUGAUUUUUGAAGAGUUCCCUGGAAUAUCUUCCACAUCUCAUUUUUGAAGAGAUCCCGCGAGAUCGGGAACUAUGUGGUUAAAACCAAAAAUUUGCCGGAAGACACUAUUCCACGCGAACGAAGUCGCGGGCAAAAGCUAU
Long non-coding RNA from Spodoptera frugiperda (fall armyworm), 1788 nucleotides. RefSeq lists it as uncharacterized. The transcript has 2 exons. The record is from RefSeq and is a predicted model, not a curated record. NCBI's taxonomy places the organism in Eukaryota, Metazoa, Arthropoda, Insecta, Lepidoptera, Noctuidae.